CAGUAGCCACGGUAAUACAGAGGGUGCGAGCGUUAAUCGGAUUUACUGGGCGUAAAGCGUGCGUAGGCGGCUUCUUAAGUCGGAUGUGAAAUCCCUGAGCUUAACUUAGGAAUUGCAUUCGAUACUGGGAAGCUAGAGUAUGGGAGAGGAUGGUAGAAUUCCAGGUGUAGCGGUGAAAUGCGUAGAGAUCUGGAGGAAUACCGAUGGCGAAGGCAGCCAUCUGGCCUAAUACUGACGCUGAGGUACGAAAGCAUGGGGAGCAAACAGGAUUAGAUACCCCGGUAGUCCAUGUCUCUUAUAC
RNAcentral lists this ribosomal RNA (301 nucleotides) under uncultured bacterium. Its description in RNAcentral is "partial 16S ribosomal RNA". It matches the Rfam family "Bacterial small subunit ribosomal RNA", at positions 509 to 807 of the family's 1533-position model. The record is from RNAcentral.